AUGUACAUUCCUACAACAUAGUGUUAAUGCACCAGAUCCCAUUAAAAAUCUACAGUUAAGUGCGCUCAGGGUAGAGUUGUACUCAGAUGGGUGACUGCCUAGGAAUUCCUAGUGUUUUACAUG
Picea glauca (white spruce) is the source of this 123-nucleotide non-coding RNA. The record is from Rfam. NCBI's taxonomy places the organism in Eukaryota, Viridiplantae, Streptophyta, Pinopsida, Pinales, Pinaceae.